RNAcentral lists this ribosomal RNA (253 nucleotides) under uncultured bacterium. RNAcentral describes it as "partial 16S ribosomal RNA". It matches the Rfam family "Bacterial small subunit ribosomal RNA", at positions 524 to 776 of the family's 1533-position model. The record is from RNAcentral.
UACGUAGGGGGCAAGCGUUGUCCGGAAUUAUUGGGCGUAAAGAGCUCGUAGGCGGUCUGUCGCGUCGGCUGUGAAAACCCGGAGCUCAACUCCGGGCCUGCAGUCGAUACGGGCAAACUGGAGUGUUGCAGGGGAGACUGGAAUUCCUGGUGUAGCGGUGAAAUGCGCAGAUAUCAGGAGGAACACCGGUGGCGAAGGCGGGUCACUGGUCCGGUACUGACGCUGAGGUGCGAAAGCGUGGGUAGCAAACGGG